This 250-nucleotide ribosomal RNA is filed under the name uncultured bacterium. Its description in RNAcentral is "partial 16S ribosomal RNA". It matches the Rfam family "Bacterial small subunit ribosomal RNA", at positions 355 to 596 of the family's 1533-position model. The record is from RNAcentral.
UGGGGAAUAUUGGACAAUGGGGGGAACCCUGAUCCAGCCAUGCCGCGUGUGUGAAGAAGGCCUUAUGGUUGUAAAGCACUUUAAGCGAGGAGGAGGCUCCUAUAGAUAAUACCUAUAGUGAGUGGACGUUACUCGCAGAAUAAGCACCGGCUAACUCUGUGCCAGCAGCCGCGGUAAUACAGAGGGUGCAAGCGUUAAUCGGAUUUACUGGGCGUAAAGCGUACGUAGGCGGCUAAUUAAGUCGGAUGUG